UACGUAGGUGGCAAGCGUUGUCCGGAAUUAUUGGGCGUAAAGCGCGCGCAGGCGGUUCCUUAAGUCUGAUGUGAAAGCCCCCGGCUCAACCGGGGAGGGUCAUUGGAAACUGGGGAACUUGAGUGCAGAAGAGAAGAGCGGAAUUCCACGUGUAGCGGUGAAAUGCGUAGAGAUGUGGAGGAACACCAGUGGCGAAGGCGGCUCUUUGGUCUGUAACUGACGCUGAGGCGCGAAAGCCAGGGGAGCAAACGGG
RNAcentral lists this ribosomal RNA (253 nucleotides) under uncultured bacterium. RNAcentral describes it as "partial 16S ribosomal RNA". It matches the Rfam family "Bacterial small subunit ribosomal RNA", at positions 524 to 776 of the family's 1533-position model. The record is from RNAcentral.